GGAGAGACCUGCAAAUCCGGGCUGGCCGUGCAAAUCCGGGCUCAUUGUCAGGCUGGCAGCAUUGGCCAGGCCUGAGUAAAUCAAGUGAAACAGAAGACAGAUGGAUGUGACCAAGUUAUUGCCAAGAGGAAACAGACAAGGAUCUUGCUCUGUUACCCAGGCUGGAAGACAGUGGUGUGGACACAGCUCACUAUGGCCUGGACCGUCCUGGGAUGAAGCGAUCCUCCCACCUCAGCCUCCCAAGUAGCUAGAUCUAUAGACACAUGCCACUAUGCCAGGCUAAUUAUUUUAUUUUUUUGUAGAGAUGGGGUCUCACUUUUUUGCUCAGGUUGGUCCCAAACUCCUGGUCUCAAGUGAUCCUCCUGCCUCAGCCUCCCCAAGUGCUGGGAUUACCCCUGUGCCUAAAGUCUAUUUUUUUUUUUUCUUUAAGGAUCUCUUACCAUCUUUGAGAAGAGUAUCUUGUAUGAAUUGUAGAGACGCAUGAUAGAAGUCAGGAAGAGUGGCUGGGUUGAGGGAGGCUUUUUAUUGCAAUAAUCCAGGUGUCAGGGGACAAGAAGCAGGACUAGGACAUUAAUAGCUGGGAUGGAGAGAUUAGGGAACUUUCGAAAGCAAAUGGAGGAAAGGGUAAAGUCAGGGUGUGGUAGCUAGUUUCUAAAGAUUGUUCCCAGUGAACCACACCCAGUAGUGUUGUCUCACAUUGAUUCUGGACUGGGCCAUUCAAACUGAGGGAAUGAGGCAAGAUGGUACUACGUUGACUUCUCAUGACUUCCAAGGCUAGGUUGGAGGAAGGUUUGCCUGGGCCUCUUGGAAUGAGAACCCAGCUCUCACGCCGUGAGAAGCCCAAACCACCCAGCUGAGCUCCUAGCUACCAGCCAGCAUCACCCACCAGCCACAGGAGUGAGCCAUCUUGGGCAGCUAGUCCAGCUGAGCCAUGAGAUGACGGCAGCCCCAGACAACAUCUGUCCUUAAUGACCUAAGAUAACCCAACAAGAACUACCUGCCUGAGCCAAUGGACCUCCAGAAUCAGGAAGGACAAUCAGACGCCGCCUCCCCACCAGCUCAUCUAUAAAACCUCCUGCAUUUCACCGCGGAUCCGGCAACCCAUUUUUCUGAGACCCCUCUCUGCAGCAGAGAACUCUUCUCUUUCUUUUGCAUAUUAAACUUCCGCUCUCAACCUCAA
RNAcentral lists this long non-coding RNA (1180 nucleotides) under Homo sapiens (human). RNAcentral describes it as "HSALNT0392510". The record is from RNAcentral. Lineage: Eukaryota; Metazoa; Chordata; Mammalia; Primates; Hominidae.